This 265-nucleotide ribosomal RNA is filed under the name uncultured bacterium. Its description in RNAcentral is "partial 16S ribosomal RNA". It matches the Rfam family "Bacterial small subunit ribosomal RNA", at positions 793 to 1055 of the family's 1533-position model. The record is from RNAcentral.
GUCCACGCCGUAAACGAUGAUGACUAGCUGUCGGGGCGCUUGGCGUUUCGGUGGCGCAGCUAACGCGUUAAGUCAUCCGCCUGGGGAGUACGGCCGCAAGGUUAAAACUCAAAGAAAUUGACGGGGGCCUGCACAAGCGGUGGAGCAUGUGGUUUAAUUCGAAGCAACGCGCAGAACCUUACCAGCGUUUGACAUGGUAGGACGGUUUCCAGAGAUGGAUUCUUUCCCUUACGGGACCUACACACAGGUGCUGCAUGGCUGUCGU